RNAcentral lists this ribosomal RNA (433 nucleotides) under uncultured bacterium. RNAcentral's name for it is "partial 16S ribosomal RNA". It matches the Rfam family "Bacterial small subunit ribosomal RNA", at positions 29 to 507 of the family's 1533-position model. The record is from RNAcentral.
AGCGAACGCUGGCGGCAGGCCCAACACAUGCAAGUCGAACGAACUCUUCGGAGUUAGUGGCGGACGGGUGAGUAACACGUGGGAACGUGCCUUUUGGUUCGGAAUAACUCAGGGAAGCUUGUGCUAAUACCGAAUGUGCCCUUCGGGGGAAAGAUUUAUCGCCAUUAGAGCGGCCCGCGUCUGAUUAGCUAGUUGGUGAGGUAACGGCUCACCAAGGCGACGAUCAGUAGCUGGUCUGAGAGGAUGACCAGCCACACUGGGACUGAGACACGGCCCAGACUCCUACGGGAGGCAGCAGUGGGGAAUCUUGCGCAAUGGGCGAAAGCCUGACGCAGCCAUGCCGCGUGAAUGAUGAAGGUCUUAGGAUUGUAAAAUUCUUUCACCGGGGACGAUAAUGACGGUACCCGGAGAAGAAGCCCCGGCUAACUUCGUG